Callithrix jacchus (white-tufted-ear marmoset) is the source of this 148-nucleotide unclassified non-coding RNA. It matches the Rfam family "Metazoan signal recognition particle RNA". From Rfam's summary of the family: The signal recognition particle (SRP) is a universally conserved ribonucleoprotein. It is involved in the co-translational targeting of proteins to membranes. Lineage: Eukaryota; Metazoa; Chordata; Mammalia; Primates; Cebidae. The record is from Ensembl.
GCCAGGUGUGGUGGCGCACACCUGUAGUCCCAGCUACUCAGGAGGCUGAGGCAGGAGAAUCACUUGGGCCUAGGAGGUCGAGGCUGCAGUGAGCUAUGACUGCGCCACUGCACUCCAGCCUGGACAACAGAGCAAAAUCUUGUCUCAA